AGCGGCGGACGGGUGAGUAACGCGUGGGUAACCCGCCUCAUACACAUGGAUAACAUACCGAAAGGUAUGCUAAUACAAGAUAAUAUAAGAGAUUCGCAUGGGUUUCUUAUCAAAGCUCCGGCGGUAUGAGAUGGACCCGCGUCUGAUUAGCUAGUUGGUAAGGUAACGGCUUACCAAGGCGACGAUCAGUAGCCGACCUGAGAGGGUGAUCGGCCACAUUGGAACUGAGACACGGUCCAAACUCCUACGGGAGGCAGCAGUGGGGAAUAUUGCACAACGGGCGAAAGCCUGAUGCAGCAACGCCGCGUGAGCGAUGAAGGCCUUCGGGUCGUAAAGCUCUGUCCCCAAGGAAGAUAAUGACGGUACUUGAGGAGGAAGCCCCGGCUAACUACGUGCCAGCAGCCGCGGUAAUACGUAGGGGGCUAGUGUUAUCCGGAUUUACUGGGCGUAAAGGGUGCGUAGGUGGUUUCUUAAGUCAGGAGUGAAAGGCUACGGCUCAACCGUAGUAAGCUCUUGAAACUGGGAAACUUGAGUGCAGGAGAGGAGAGUGGAAUUCCUAGUGUAGCGGUGAAAUGCGUAGAUAUUAGGAGGAACACCAGUAGCGAAGGCGGCUUUCUGGACUGUAACUGACACUGAGGCACGAAAGCGUGGGGAGCAAACAGGAUUAGAUACCCUGGUAGUCCACGCCGUAAACGAUGAGUACUAGGUGU
RNAcentral lists this ribosomal RNA (710 nucleotides) under uncultured bacterium. RNAcentral's name for it is "bacterial SSU rRNA". It matches the Rfam family "Bacterial small subunit ribosomal RNA", at positions 94 to 823 of the family's 1533-position model. The record is from RNAcentral.